Molecule: ribosomal RNA, 68 nt
Filed under: Glycymeris glycymeris
Lineage: Eukaryota; Metazoa; Mollusca; Bivalvia; Arcoida; Glycymerididae
Also listed under: 1 other name
Description: partial 28S ribosomal RNA
Rfam family: Eukaryotic large subunit ribosomal RNA
Source: RNAcentral
UCCGACCUCAGAUCAGACGAGAUUACCCGCUGAAUUUAAGCAUAUCACUAAGCGGAGGAAAAAAAACU